AUGUCGAAGCGAGCUGGUCCCCCGAAGCACCAGAACACCUACGCAUGGAAGCCCAACCUCGGCCGGAAGAUCAACGAGACCGAGCCCGGGGGCAGGUUCCGGCCUCUGUCGGAGAUCACCGGCGUCUGCCAGCGCUGCCGGGACCAAAUCGACUGGAAGCGCAAAUACGGCAAGUACAAGCCAAUUGUUGAGCCUGCAAAAUGCCAGAAGUGCAGUAAAAGAAACGUCCGGCAGGCAUACCACAACGUCUGCACUGGUUGCUCCAAGGAGCUUGGGAUUUGUGCCAAGUGCUGCACCUCUGUUAAGCAGCUUGUUGGAAGGGAUGCUGAGGAAGCAAACAGUGAGCGCAAAGAACUAGAGGAGGCCAUCAGAUAUGCUAGGGAGAGGGAACGACGGACACUUCUUCGCCUUAUGAACAAAAACAAGGAUGAGAGCGGGCCAUCAGUCCCAAAGAUUGCAGACCGAGAUCGGGAAGGCGACCUUUUCCCUGUUGCAUCCCUGGACGAAUAUGCUGAACAGGCUGUACAGAAGGAUGAGUCUGAUGAAGAAGAUGCCAGGGAUUUUGUGAAAGAUUAA
RNAcentral lists this ribosomal RNA (576 nucleotides) under Triticum aestivum (bread wheat). RNAcentral describes it as "partial small subunit ribosomal RNA". The record is from RNAcentral. Lineage: Eukaryota; Viridiplantae; Streptophyta; Magnoliopsida; Poales; Poaceae.